CAUGGAGACCUCCAACACCGCUCUCCACUACGUGCCUCUUCUCCUGCUUAAGAACCUGGACGUCUUAGACGAGCUGGGCUUAUGGUGAAUGUGAUUGGGGACAGUCAAGGGUCUCUGAGGCCAUGCUGGAAGGUUGUUGGGUGAUGAACGAAGACAUCUGUCCUGAUCAGUCUGAAAAAUAAAAAAUCCACCUCUGUAAGGAUUUGUAACUUAUAAUGAAGUUUUGCUGCCAACAGAGCUCUUUGAAAUUGACAAGGACACUACUGUGUACACCAUCCUGAGCUCUGUCCUCCACGACCCAUACCACUUUGAGAAGCCAGAUGCUUUCCAUUCUGGCCACUUCCUGGAUUUGGAGGGCAACUUCAGGAAGCAAGAAGCCUUCAUCCUAUUCUCCAUGGCUCUGCUUCCUGCCCCACUGGGGAGGGGGAGAAGGGAUGAAGAUCCCCUCAGAGUCCUUGCAUCCAGCCCUCGUCUCUGCCCACAAAGAAUCUGUGGAGGUCUCCUGACUCCUCCCUGUUCAUUCUACCCUGUGGCUCUGUCCUUGCUGUUCCUUCUGCCUGAAACCCUCUUUCCAGUGGCCCGUUGAUGCUCACCCAUGAGGUCUUAGCUUAGAAAUCAGUGCUUCAGUCCCUGGCAACCACUGCUAUGAUUCUGUCUCUGAAAACUUACCUGUUCUGGAAGUUUCAUAUGAAUGGACUCAAACAGUUGUCCUGAAGAGGUUAAACCUUCACAAUGUUCCAUAACAUUCCGAAGUCAUGUGCCACUCCAAAAGCAUAAUGGCUGAGGUAUACAUAUCUGCGAACUGGUCUUCAGCCAACUGACAACCUCAAGUUAAAGUAAUUCAUUGUGGUUGUUGUGCUGAUUUUAUUUCUGGUAAAUAAGUACUCUCAAUUGUGCCCACUGAAGAAAUUUCUGCAUAUCCAGCUUGGUAAUGUCCUUCCUCAUCCUUUAAGUAAGACCUGUCUUUAAACCAACUUAAAUCAGCAUUCUCAGUAGGAAUUUCUUGUGAGUCAUUGCUAAGAGCAAGAAGGUAAUCUGUUAUUAAAAUACAGUCGUGGUCAA
Molecule: long non-coding RNA, 1062 nt
Filed under: Equus asinus (donkey)
Lineage: Eukaryota; Metazoa; Chordata; Mammalia; Perissodactyla; Equidae
Description: lncRNA (ENSEASG00005027523.1, ENSEASG00020040940.1)
Source: RNAcentral